AUUGAACGCUGGCGGCAGGCCUAACACAUGCAAGUCGAGCGAGAGGCGGACGGGUGAGUAAUGUAUGGGGACUGCCCGAUAGAGGGGGAUAACUACUGGAAACGGUGGCUACUACCGCAUACUAUCGGAUAAACCCUAUGGGAUUAGCUAGUAGGUGGGGUAAAGGCUCACCUAGGCGGCGAUCUCUAGCUGGUCUGAGAGGAUGAUCAGCCACACUGUGACUGAGACACGGCCCAGACGCCUACGGAGGUAUCAGUGGGGAAUAUUGCACAAUGGUCGCAAGCCUGAUGCAGCCAUGCCGCGUGUAUGAAGAAGGCCUUAGGGUUGUAAAGUACUUUCAGCGGGGAGUCGUUACCCGCACAAGAAGCACCUGGUAACUCCGUGCCAGCAGCCGCGGUAAUUC
Molecule: ribosomal RNA, 403 nt
Filed under: uncultured bacterium
Lineage: Bacteria
Description: partial 16S ribosomal RNA
Rfam family: Bacterial small subunit ribosomal RNA
Source: RNAcentral